GCAUAUCAAUAAGCGGAGGAAAAGAAACUAACAAGGAUUCCCCUAGUAACGGCGAGUGAGCGGGAAGAGCUCAAAUUUGAAAUCUGGUGGCCUCAGGUCAUCCGAGUUGUAAUCUAUAGAAGUGUUUUCCGUGCUGGCUCAUGUACAAGUCCCUUGGAACAGGGCGUCAUAGAGGGUGAGAAUCCCGUCCUUGACAUGAACUACCAGUGCUCUGUGAUACAUUUUCAACGAGUCGAGUUGUUUGGGAAUGCAGCUCAAAAUGGGUGGUAAAUUCCAUCUAAAGCUAAAUAUUGGCGAGAGACCGAUAGCGAACAAGUACCGUGAGGGAAAGAUGAAAAGCACUUUGGAAAGAGAGUUAAACAGUAUGUGAAAUUGUUGAAAGGGAAACGAUUGAAGUCAGUCGUGCUCUUUGGAUUCAGCCGGUUCUGCCGGUGUACUUCCUUUGAGUGGGGUCAACAUCAGUUUUGAUCGCUGGAUAAAGGCUGGAGGAACGUAGUACCCUCGGGUAAACUUAUAGCCUCCUGUCACAUACAGUGGUUGGGACUGAGGAACGCAGCACGCCUUUAUGGCCGGGAUUCGUCCACGUACGUGCUUAGGAUGUUGACAUAAUGGCUUUAAACGACCCGUCUUGAAC
RNAcentral lists this ribosomal RNA (634 nucleotides) under Filobasidium magnum. RNAcentral's name for it is "eukaryotic LSU rRNA". It matches the Rfam family "Eukaryotic large subunit ribosomal RNA", at positions 38 to 659 of the family's 3401-position model. The record is from RNAcentral. Lineage: Eukaryota; Fungi; Basidiomycota; Tremellomycetes; Filobasidiales; Filobasidiaceae.